Molecule: ribosomal RNA, 486 nt
Filed under: uncultured bacterium
Lineage: Bacteria
Description: partial 16S ribosomal RNA
Rfam family: Bacterial small subunit ribosomal RNA
Source: RNAcentral
GAUGAACGCUGGCGGCGUGCCUAAUACAUGCAAGUCGAACGCUGGAGCUCUAGCUUGCUAGAUCGAAGGAGUGGCGAACGGGUGAGUAAUACAUAAGCAACCUACCCACGAAGACUGGGAUAAUCUCUGGAAACGGGGACUAAUACCGGAUAGGUAAUCGGAAGGCAUCUUCUGGUUAUUAAAGGUUAAAAACACUGGUGGAUGGGCUUAUGGCGCAUUCGUUAGUUGGUGAGGUAACGGCCCACCAAGACGAUGAUGCGUAGCCGGCCUGAGAGGGUGAACGGCCAGAAUGGGACUGAGGCACAGCCCAGACUCCUACGGGAGGCAGCAGUAGGGAAUUUUCGGCAAUGGGGGCAACCCUGACCGAGCAACGCCGCGGGAGUGAAGACGGCCUUCGGGUUGUAAAGCUCUGUUGUAAGGGAAGAACGGUAGAUAGAGAAUAUCUAAGUGACGGUACCUUACCAGAAAGCCACGGCUAACUACGUG